GCAAAGCCCUCUCUCUCAGGGUCAGAGUCCAAAGACUCCGAUUCGCCGACUCAGUGGUGGUUCACUGUUCACUCCCUCACCGCCUCUCUCUUUUUCCGGCGACCUCUCUCCGUCCGCAAAAGAUCGGCGUCCGAUUCAAGCAUUUCCUUCCUCAAAUGAGUAUCGUCCGAUCUUGUAUCUCACUCGCAGCGAUUCGUGCAUAGCUCGACCUCCAUGGCCAUCAGAGGCGUCGAUUUCAAAUGGUACGAUGGAUUCUUCUUGUCGAUGCUCGCGACCGGUGUGUAUCCUUUAUUAGGGUUUCGAUUUCAAUCUCUGCAAUUCGUUUUUCGUUUUGGAUUAUCUGUUUGUGCGAGACCAGUGUGUAUCCUUUAGAUUUGAUAAUGUCUUAAAUGUAGGAGUGUGCUUCACUAUUGGAUUAUAAUCUACCAAAGUAUAGUACUUUGAUCGUUACCAUCUAGCAUUUACAGAAGAAGUGAUAGAAGAUAGUUUCAAUGUCAAAAAUUGUAGAUGGACUUUCUCGUGAAAUAUAGAAAAUUUGGGAAUGGCUUUUUGAGUAUUGGAAGCCAUUAGGUCUUCUUCCUUGCGGUGGUGAAGUGGUGGCGUGUUUGGGGUUGGAUGACCAUUGAGCUAUAUGUUUCUUAAUUCAGAAGGGGGAGGAACUAGACAACUGAGAAUGUAUUCAAUAAAGCUCCUGUUGUUGACAAGGAUGCAUUUGUGGCCCAAGUGCCUCCGUCAUUGGUGAUGUUCAAGUGGGAAGAGGAUCUUCUAUUUGGUAUGGAUGUGUAUUGAGAGGUUCCCUCUAUUUUUGCAAAUGGUCAACGAGAGAUUGGAGAGUGCUUAGCAAGGGCAUUGGAGAACGUUGAAAAGAAAGGGCAUACUCAUUGUGCUCUUAAGAGUGAAUCUUUGAGACCCAUGUUGGUUUGGAAAUUGAAAGUCCAAAUCUUUGAGACCUAAGUCUCAGAGCAAAGUUAGUAGAGAAGACCAGGGACCUGCCCAUUUUGAAAUGAAGGGAGGAAGAUUAAGGUGUUGGUAGUUCUUACUAGUUCUGUUUGAUUAUGAGGUCUUAGACUUUUAGCAGUAUGGCAGUGGAUCCUGCCACGAAUUUUGGCUCUAUGAUGUAAGACUUCUUUAUGGGAAAUGGUUGGCAUGUGGCAUCAAAUCAAGCUAUAAUUAAUCAGCCCCUUCAAGUACUCUGUAAUCAAUCUGAGGACAAUUCUAAUCUAGAUAGCAUGUUCUAUAUUUGAAAAUCAGUUUAAUUAUACUAUGAUUUUGUAAUAUGAAGUUAUUUAAUUGAUAUAAUUUACUACAUGAAUACUUUUGUUUACUAUGCUUGAAUG
Molecule: long non-coding RNA, 1337 nt
Organism: Rosa chinensis
Lineage: Eukaryota; Viridiplantae; Streptophyta; Magnoliopsida; Rosales; Rosaceae
Exons: 5
Source: RefSeq, a predicted model, not a curated record